AUUGAACGCUGGCAGCAGGCCUAACACAUGCAAGUCGAGCGGCAGCGGAAAGUAGCUUGCUACUUUGCCGGCGAGCGGCGGACGGGUGAGUAAUGUCUGGGAAACUGCCCGAUGGAGGGGGAUAACUACUGGAAACGGUGGCUAAUACCGCAUAACGUCUUCGGACCAAAGUGGGGGACCUUCGGGCCUCACACCAUCGGAUGUGCCCAGAUGGGAUUAGCUAGUAGGUGGGGUAAUGGCUCACCUAGGCGACGAUCCCUAGCUGGUCUGAGAGGAUGACCAGCCACACUGGAACGGAGACACGGUCCAGACUCCUACUGGAGGGAGCAGUGGGGAAUAUUGCACAAUGGGCGCAAGCCUGAUGCAGCCAUGCCGCGUGUGUGAAGAAGGCCUUCGGGUUGUAAAGCACUUUCAGCGAGGAGGAAGGCAGUCGUGUUAAUAGCGCGACUGAUUGACGUUACUCGCAGAAGAAGCACCGGCUAACUCCGUGCCAGCAGCCGCGGUAA
Molecule: ribosomal RNA, 506 nt
Filed under: uncultured bacterium
Lineage: Bacteria
Description: partial 16S ribosomal RNA
Rfam family: Bacterial small subunit ribosomal RNA
Source: RNAcentral